AUCCAGAUGAAGAGUCCCAAAUAGGACGAAAAUGAGCAUCCUGGAU
Non-coding RNA from Trichobilharzia regenti, 46 nucleotides. The record is from Rfam. NCBI's taxonomy places the organism in Eukaryota, Metazoa, Platyhelminthes, Trematoda, Strigeidida, Schistosomatidae.